RNAcentral lists this ribosomal RNA (458 nucleotides) under uncultured cyanobacterium. RNAcentral describes it as "bacterial SSU rRNA". It matches the Rfam family "Bacterial small subunit ribosomal RNA", at positions 321 to 795 of the family's 1533-position model. The record is from RNAcentral. Lineage: Bacteria; Bacillati; Cyanobacteriota.
GAGACACGGCCUAGACUCUUACGGGAGGCAGCAAUGGGGAAUAUUCUGCAAUGGGCGCAAGCCUGAUGGAGCAAUACCGCGUGAGGGAGGAAGGCCUUUGGGUUGUAAACCUUUUUUGUCAGGGAUGAAGGUCUGACGGAAAAUACGAAUCAGCAUCGGCUAACUCCGUCCCAGCAGCCGCGGUAAUAAGGAGGAUGCAAGCGUUAUCCGGAUUUAUUGGGCGUAAAGGGUCCGCAGGUGGUUAUUCAAGUCUGCUGUCAAAGCGCGGAGCUUAAUUCCGUACAGGCGGAGGAAAGUGAGGAAGUAGAGUUUGGUAGGGGUCGCGGGAAUUCCCAGUGUAGCGGUGAAAUGCGUAGAUAUUGGGAAGAACACCGGCGGCGAAAGCGCGCGACUGGACCGGAACUGACAUUGAGGGACGAAAGCUAGGGGAGCGAAAGGGAUUAGAUACCCCUGUAGUC